RNAcentral lists this unclassified non-coding RNA (336 nucleotides) under soil metagenome. RNAcentral's name for it is "partial contains 5.8S ribosomal RNA, internal transcribed spacer 2, and large subunit ribosomal RNA". The stretch from base 1 to 120 matches the Rfam family "5.8S ribosomal RNA", at positions 35 to 154 of the family's 154-position model. The record is from RNAcentral.
GAUGAAGAACGUAGCGGAAUGCGAUAAGUAGUGUGAAUUGCAGAAUUCAGUGAAUCAUCGAAUCUUUGAACGCACAUUGCGCCCCUUGGUAUUCCAUGGGGCAUGCCUGUUCGAGCGUCAUUUGUACCCUCCAGCCCUGCUGGGUGUUGGGCGUUUGUUCCGCCGCGCGCGUGAACUCGCCUCAAAUGCAUUGGCAGCCAGCCGUCCCGCGUGGGAGCGCAGCACAUUUUGCGCUCUCCGCUGGGUGCGGCGGCGUCCACAAGCCUAUACCUUUACGCUUGACCUCGGAUCAGGUAGGGAUACCCGCUGAACUUAAGCAUAUCAAUAAGCGGAGGA